Molecule: transfer RNA, 792 nt
Filed under: Bradyrhizobium sp. KO13
Lineage: Bacteria; Pseudomonadati; Pseudomonadota; Alphaproteobacteria; Hyphomicrobiales; Nitrobacteraceae
Description: partial contains 16S rRNA and ITS1
Rfam family: tRNA (bases 223-296)
Source: RNAcentral
GUAGGGGAACCUGCGGCUGGAUCACCUCCUUUCUAAGGAUGAUCCUUCAGCGAGCUUCGGCUCACUAUCGGAUCGUUUUAGAAACAUCAGUGGCCAACAGAUCGCCAGAUCGUUGAGCUGCAUUGGCGGGAUUUCGCCGUCUUCGUUUCUCUUUCUUCGCGGACGAACACGCGCUGGGCCUGCAUCGGCAGGAUCCGGGGUCCUUAACGGGAUAUGCGUUAGGGGCUUGUAGCUCAGUUGGUUAGAGCGCGCGCUUGAUAAGCGUGAGGUCGGAAGUUCAAGUCUUCCCAGGCCCACCACUUUCAUCGAGUGAGCAUUCGUCUUCUGGUUACGGGGCCAUAGCUCAGCUGGGAGAGCGCGUGCUUUGCAAGCAUGAGGUCGUCGGUUCGAUCCCGUCUGGCUCCACCAGAUGGUUUGAUCACCGGCAUCGUGCACCGUCGUCCGCGAAACAUCACUUCGCAUUCGCUAGCCUGGAUAGGCAGUGAACUGCGUGUUUUCUGACAUCGUAAAGAGGAGAUCGAUCCGAGUUGGGUCGUGCAGCAGAUUGUUGCGCGCAUCCUUCAUUAUCUCCGGAUCAUUUUCGGCGCUUGCCUACAGCCGUGAGGUUGAAUGCGAGUUGUAAAAUGAUCCUUUUAGCGAAGCUUGACCGCCUCGCUAUCGGAACGAUCUUACGAAGCAAGCUGGUCUUUCUAGUCAAUGUCCGGCUGCAGAUAGCGUUCAUCGAGGGCGCGUGCCGCAAGGCAAUUCUGCAGACAACAUUCUGCCGAGUGUGUGGACAUUGAUAAUGAGAGC